RNAcentral lists this ribosomal RNA (465 nucleotides) under uncultured bacterium. RNAcentral's name for it is "partial 16S ribosomal RNA". It matches the Rfam family "Bacterial small subunit ribosomal RNA", at positions 28 to 507 of the family's 1533-position model. The record is from RNAcentral.
GACGAACGCUGGCGGCGUGCUUAACACAUGCAAGUCGAACGGAAAGGCCCUGCUUGCAGGGUACUCGCGUGGCGAACGGGUGAGUAACACGUGGGUGAUCUGCCCUGCACUUCGGGAUAAGCCUGGUCAACUGGGUCUAAUACCGGCUAGGUGCCAUUUUUAGUGUGAUGGUUGGAUAGUUUUUUCGGUGUAGGAUGAACUCGCGGCCUAUCUGCUUGUUGGUGGGGUAAUGGCCUACCAAGGCGGCGACGGGUAGCCGGCCUGCGAGGGUGGACGGCCACAUUGGGACUGAGGUAAGGCCGAGAUAGCGACGGGAGGGAGAAGUGGGGAAGAUUGAACAAGGAGCGCAAGCCUGAUGCGGCGAGGCCGCGGGGGGGAUGACGGCGUUAGGGUUGUAAACUCAUUUCGCUAGGGACGAAGCUUUUUGUGACGGUACCUAGAUAAGAAGCACCGGCUAACUACGUG